RNAcentral lists this ribosomal RNA (429 nucleotides) under uncultured archaeon. Its description in RNAcentral is "bacterial SSU rRNA". It matches the Rfam family "Archaeal small subunit ribosomal RNA", at positions 474 to 903 of the family's 1478-position model. The record is from RNAcentral.
UACCUGCAGCUCAAGUGGUGGCCGUUAUUAUUGGGCCUAAAACGUCCGUAGCCGGUUUAUUAAAUGCCUGGGUAAAUCGGGCCGCUUAACGGUUCGAAUUCCGGGUAGACUGAUAGACUUGGGACCGGGAGAAGCUAGAGGUACUCCUGGGGUAGAGGUGAAAUUCUGUAAUCCUAGGGGGACCACCAGUGGCGAAGGCGUCUAGCUAGAACGGGUCUGACGGUGAGGGACGAAGCCCUGGGGCGCAAACCGGAUUAGAUACCCGGGUAGCCCAGGGUGUAAACGCUGCUUGCUUGAUGUUAGUCGGGCUCCGAGCCCGAUUAGUGUCGGAGAGAAGUUGUUAAGCAAGCUGCCUGGGAAGUACGGCCGCAAGACUGAAACUUAAAGGAAUUGGCGGGGGAGCACAGCAACGGGUGGAGCGUGCGGUUU